Long non-coding RNA from Rosa chinensis, 1573 nucleotides. RefSeq lists it as uncharacterized. The transcript is spliced from 4 exons. The record is from RefSeq and is a predicted model, not a curated record. Lineage: Eukaryota; Viridiplantae; Streptophyta; Magnoliopsida; Rosales; Rosaceae.
GAGCCUUGAUUUAUAUGGGAAUAUUUGAAUACUUUUCAGCUUCUUGGACAUGAUUAUCUUUGCAAUUCGUUUGGCUGCAAUUCAGGUUUUUGGUAACUUAUUGGUAUGGCACCCCUUUCACUUUUGUUAUAAUAGUAUUGUCAGUUAUUCCUGAAAUGAUCGAAGUUGGACUAGUAGAUAGAGAUUUGUAACCGAAACUAGGUUAGUGUUGUGUAGUUUGUGAAAACUUGUAUAUGCUUCAAUACUAAGGGAAUUUAAGGCAAUUCUGUUUUCUUCUUUCUAUGUCAUUAAAUGAUAGGUUAUUAUGUGAAGUAUAUUCUUGCAUAAAGAAGUGUUUGAUAUAUGUCACUAGGCAAAAUUUUCAUUUUCUGUUUCCUUUUAGAGGCUCUGAUUUAAUGAAUGCAUCUGGCUGCAAAUAUAAGAUAUGUGCACCUGUAGGGUGGGUUAGCUUGAUAGCUUGUUCACGUGAAAAUAAUUGAAUAUUGAUAGGUCGUUUACACGAUGAUUCAGUUUUCACUUUCUGCUUGUUGGGUGACAUAGAGCAUUGUAUUUUUGCCUAUUUCUAUGGGAGAAUAUUAGGCUCUUGUUGUGUUUCUUUUAUCAUUCUAGCGCCCUCGUCCAUGUGAAAUUAAAAUAGUUAUGACUUAUGAGUGGAUGCUAGUCUGUAAAAUUUUUGGUUGGUCUUUGUUUGUGUUUGUGGUUGAAAUUGUUGAUUUCCUUGGCUUUGGGUAGUGAUGAGACAAUUGUUCAUGUUUAGAGAAGCCAAGACGUCCUUAUGAGAAGGAACAUUUGGAUGCUGAGCUGAAGCUUGGAGAAUAUAGGCUUCGGUGCAAGUUAUUGGCCAAGACAUUUCCUUGUAACGUUUUGGUUAAUCCGAUGUAUUGAGGAUGGUGCUUAGCCAAGCAGCUGAGGCAUCUCUUCGAGUGUCUCGACUUUGUUAGGAAGCUAUGCAUGGUUGUGAGGUUAAGAAGAAGAUCGUACCAAGAUACAUAUAGAGCUAAUAUAUAUUGAAGCUUGAAGCAUUUAGAAUCACCUUGGAGUUGAAAGCCUGAUCGAAUUGUACUCUGUUGUACCUAGGUGGAGGAUAUACCUAGAGUAUUUCCAAAAGGCCUAGGAGCUGUCAUCUAUAAUCAUUCAUGGGAAGUCCAAGCUGUUUUCAAAUGGAUCCAAGAGAUAAUGAGAAUUUCAUGCUGGAAGAGUAGAAGAUGCUGAAAUGAGACGAACUUUUAAUAUGGGUAUUGGGAUGGUUCUUGUAAGGAGGCAUCCCACUGAAUCCUUGAGGAUGGAAAUGGAGCUUACUGCAUUGGUGAGGCUGUAACUAGUGAAGGAGUGAGUUAUAAAUAAAAUAUAUAAUGUGUGGCCCAAUAUGUCUUUAUGUUCGUUUUUGAGCCCAUUUGACAAGCUAAGAUACAAGCUAGUGCAACUUGUUUUUUCUGUUAUUUUUGUAUCUUGAUAUUCACACUUCCAGAGGAAUUUGUUAGUGCAUUAUAAGGCUCCUUUAAGUUAUGAGUUCCCUUAUUCCAAUUGAUGCUCAACUUUUGUACGAAGUCUGUUUUUUCCUUUCCCUGCCAUG